Molecule: ribosomal RNA, 851 nt
Filed under: Cyanosporus caesius
Lineage: Eukaryota; Fungi; Basidiomycota; Agaricomycetes; Polyporales; Postiaceae
Description: eukaryotic LSU rRNA
Rfam family: Eukaryotic large subunit ribosomal RNA
Source: RNAcentral
GAUAAGCUCAAAUUUAAAAUCUGGUAGCUUCGCUGCCCGAGUUGUAAUCUGGAGAAGUGCUUUCUGUGCUGGACCGUGUACAAGUCUCUUGGAACAGAGCGUCAUAGAGGGUGAGAAUCCCGUCUUUGACACGGACUACCAGUGCUUUGUGAUGCGCUCUCAAAGAGUCGAGUUGUUUGGGAAUGCAGCUCAAAAUGGGUGGUAAAUUCCAUCUAAAGCUAAAUAUUGGCGAGAGACCGAUAGCGAACAAGUACCGUGAGGGAAAGAUGAAAAGAACUUUGGAAAGAGAGUUAAACAGUACGUGAAAUUGCUGAAAGGGAAACGCUUGAAGUCAGUCGCGUUGGCCGGAACUCAGCCUGGCUUUGGCUUGGUGCAUUUUCUGGUUGACGGGUCAGCAUCAGUUUUGAUCGUCGGAUAAUGGUUGAGGGAAUGUGGCAUCUUCGGAUGUGUUAUAGCCCUCAGUCGCAUACGAUGGUUGGGACUGAGGAUCUCAGCACACCUUUAUGGUCGGGGCUCGCCCACGUUUGUGCUUAGGAUGCUGGCAUAAUGGCUUUAAACGACCCGUCUUGAAACACGGACCAAGGAGUCUAACAUGCGUGCGAGUGUUUGGGUGGAAAACCCGAGCGCGUAAUGAAAGUGAAAGUUGAGAUCCCUGUCGUGGGGAGCAUCGACGCCCGGACCAGACCUUCUGUGACGGCUCUGCGGUGGAGCAUGUAUGUUGGGACCCGAAAGAUGGUGAACUAUGCCUGAAUAGGGUGAAGCCAGAGGAAACUCUGGUGGAGGCUCGUAGCGAUUCUGACGUGCAAAUCGAUCGUCAAAUUUGGGUAUAGGGGCGAAAGACUAAUCGAACC